Molecule: ribosomal RNA, 506 nt
Filed under: uncultured bacterium
Lineage: Bacteria
Description: partial 16S ribosomal RNA
Rfam family: Bacterial small subunit ribosomal RNA
Source: RNAcentral
AACGAACGCUGGCGGUAGGCCUAACACAUGCAAGUCGAACGGCAGCACAGAGGAGCUUGCUCCUUGGGUGGCGAGUGGCGGACGGGUGAGGAAUACAUCGGAAUCCACUCUGUCGUGGGGGAUAACGUAGGGAAACUUACGCUAAUACCGCAUACGACCUACGGGUGAAAGCAGGGGAUCGUCGGACCUUGCGCGAUUGAAUGAGCCGAUGUCGGAUUAGCUAGUUGGCGGGGUAAAGGCCCACCAAGGCGACGAUCCGUAGCUGGUCUGAGAGGAUGAUCAGCCACACUGGAACUGAGACACGGUCCAGACUCCUACGGGAGGCAGCAGUGGGGAAUAUUGGACAAUGGGCGCAAGCCUGAUCCAGCCAUACCGCGUGGGUGAAGAAGGCCUUCGGGUUGCAAAGCCCUUUUGUUGGGAAAGAAAUCCAUCUGGUUAAUACCCGGGUGGGAUGACGGUACCCAAAGAAUAAGCACCGGCUAACUUCGUGCCAGCCGCCGCCGUAA